RNAcentral lists this ribosomal RNA (253 nucleotides) under uncultured bacterium. Its description in RNAcentral is "partial 16S ribosomal RNA". It matches the Rfam family "Bacterial small subunit ribosomal RNA", at positions 524 to 776 of the family's 1533-position model. The record is from RNAcentral.
UACGGAGAGUGCAAACGUUGUUCGGAUUCACUGGGCGUAAAGGGCACGUAGGCGGCUCGGCAAAUCGGCCGUGGAAUCCCGACGCUUACCGUCGGAACGGCGGCCGAAAAUACCGGGCUCGAGGGCGUGAGGGGUCACUGGAACUCCUGGUGAAGCGGUGAAAUGCGUAGAUAUCAGGAGGAACGCCGGAGGCGAAAGCGAGUGACUGGCGCGUUCCUGACGCUGAGGUGCGAAAGCUAGGGGAGCAAACAGG